ACAUGAUGAGACUCCAGCUGGCACCAGUCAUAGGGUGACUUGUACUCCCUCCAUUGAUGACCAAUUUGCUGUGGUUUACAAACCACCUCUGAA
This 93-nucleotide small nucleolar RNA is filed under the name Purpureocillium lilacinum. Its description in RNAcentral is "A. fumigatus snoRNA Afu_190". It matches the Rfam family "A. fumigatus snoRNA Afu_190". The record is from Rfam by way of RNAcentral. Lineage: Eukaryota; Fungi; Ascomycota; Sordariomycetes; Hypocreales; Ophiocordycipitaceae. RNAcentral also lists the same sequence under 1 other name.